AUAAUCAGUAGAAUUCGUCAUGUUGCUUUAUUUGUUCUGUUUCACUGUGAAAACAGAGUCGGUGUGCAACAAUGCAAAUCAGAUUCAUCAUCUACAAGAGUCGGUGUCCAACCAUGUCCUCCUAUAGAGCUCAUGUUCCUAUGCUUGCGUAGAAGAUUAUGAUAUGGAAGUACUCUUGACUUUCCAUGGUAGUUUCUUUUUUGCCCAGUUUGCUUUGUUCAAUUGCAUAUACUGUAACUAAGAACGAGGCAGCAUAUGCAGAUUUUGGUACUGGAUUAUUGGUCACACAUAUGAGAGUUGUGAACCGGGGACGAUCAUGUAUUUCAUAAGCGAGCAAGGUAAAUUAUUUUUUAUCCAUUUGAAGAAACAGAGCUCUACCCGUUGCAUUAUAUUUGCAUGCCUAGAGGCAAUACUUUCUUUUCUUUGUCACGGCCCUUUCCAUCCACCGUACUGUAGAAUGCCUGCAUACAGAGGCAAUUAAAGUGGUAGAUUUUGGCCAGUUCUGAACGGCAAUGCACCAUAGUAUUUCUAACGUUCUAUUCAUGUCAUUCUGUACCGUUCCGAACUCAUAUUUUGUUGCUCCUAGAAGAUAAUAAAGUGUCCAUAUCGUUAAUCAUAUAAAUGGUAUUUCAGGCACAAGCAGAGUUCUGCAUGAGAAAUAUCAAAUAUCCAUUUAUUAUAGGAAAUGUUACCUUUUCUAACAUAGCAUAUAAUUAUAGAAUUGACAUAAGAUUGUUAUGCUUUUGCUUAAGGUUUUUCCGUACCUAUGGUAUACAUAUUGUUUUCUGCUUAAUGAUAUUCCAUAUCAAUACUAGCACAAUACCUCAAGUAAUACAUUGAUGUCAUAUACCUGGAUGCAUGGUUUUGUCAUUAUUUUACCGUCAACUUCAAUUGAUAGCUACGAGAAAUAUUUCAUCACGGAGUCGCUUGGUUCUUCUGCUGACAAAGACUUCUACAUGAAAGACCAAGAAGAACAUGUUUCUAGAGAUAUCUUGAUAUCUUUGCAUUUUCUCUACCAACUGUCAGUUUAGAUACUUCAUUUACCCGCAAAAAAAGUUUAGAUACUUCAUUAAGUAGAAUUCUUAAUUAGUAAUCUAUUUAUUCGUUUCGACUGACCGCACAACAGAUAUAGGAAUAACAAACAAAAAUAUUGUAACGCUACCAUGCUAUUUAGCACGAUAUGUUUCAAUAGAUAUCCAUUCAGUACAUUGUUAUUUGAUUUUUCCAGUUAGAUAAAUCUUUUGAGAUGUUACAUAGAUUUUAAUAAUUACAGUCUUUAGCAAAAAAAAAUUGAAUGAUGUUUGUUUUAAUGUGUAGCACAACUGAUCAUGAGGAAGUUGGCAGCUUUGACUUCUUUAUAUAAUCGCCUCUACCAACUGUCGCCUUUUGUUUUCAAGCACUAUAUGAUAUUUGUUAGUUUUCUACAUUUUUAAUAGCUUAUUUUUCCGCUGCAACGCGCAGGGUCCUGGGUACCUGCAUGAUUAAGGAAGAAAUUGGUUAUUACUAAAUGUGCUAUUGCAUAUCAAAGGUGAGCUCAUCCUGUUUUCUUUCUUCAAUCUCUGUCGAAGAUUUAUCUCCAUUUUCCUUGCAUUUGUCAUGCUAAUUCUUUGUGUAGAUGUGCUAGCUAGCUUACAAUUCGUAUCAUCAUUUUUGUCGUUGAGUAGAACUCAACUGGGGAUUUGCUCUUUGCAUCUGAACUGUGUGUCCUAUGAUGUGCUUUACUCUAUUGAGUUAUUGCCCUGAAUUAAUGAAAGGACAUCUGGAGAUAAAAUUAUUGAUUGGUAGGCCCUCGGUUUAUUUAACUAUUCUAUAUUUUUAGAGACUGCAAUCCAAAUCAUAUGUUAUUUCUUCUUUGGGAUGAAAUAGAUCAUACGUGUGGCAUCGACCAAAACCAUAGUCUGAUCUUACAAGGCCUUAUUGAUUGUUGAUUCUACUUUCAUGGUCUGGUCUAUCCGAGGUGCAACCAAGAUCAGGCAAGAGGACAAUGUCUAGGUUGUUUCGAUAGAAUAUCCUACUGACUGAAGCUCAAAGCCUGAAGUCCCUAGCCCAGUGUUAAAAAGUUCAGUCAAUCCGUAGCUAUAGCUGGAAUCACAUAGAGCAGUGGCUACUCCGGAAACUCUUGUUCUGAUCACUUCCAGGUAAUUGGUUAGGAUUCAUAUGGUCUCUUCCAAGCUAUGACGGAUGGUAUACUGCAUACUGAUGAGGAUAGAUGAUUUAUUUUGACGUACUAUUUUAGAUAGUGAUACUGAACUGUUAUUCUACGGAUAGGUUUUUUUUUUUGCAUUUUUCCUCUGCUAGGAUAUAUAUUAAUGGAUAAACAGUGUGUACAUGUUAACCUUUUGUCCGCGAUGGCCGUAUUAGCAUGCCUAGCUACCAAGUAUAAAUAGCAUGUGCGUCACUCAGAAAUAGAGCAUCCCGGUGGAAUAUGGAUGGUGUAAGAAUUUGGAAAUUUCUCUCAUUUUUGAUUGAAUCUCUCAGAAAAAUAAAUGCUGAUGUGUGCUGAUACAUUGCUAAACAUAUAUGAUAUGAACUCACUUCUCUUUAUUGAUUGUUGGUUUACUUUCUUGCCCUGCAAUGGCUCUCCUUGGAAUGUUGUUCCAUGCUUAAAUGCGCACAAUCCAGAAAGUGCGUGUAUCCAGAAAUCAAACAUCUCUUGUGUGUUAUCUUCUCAUAAAAUUUGUGUUGUCCCAAUAAGAAUAAGGGAGGUGGGGGGCCGGCCGUCUCUGUGCCUCCUCGACGCCGAGAUGCGGCUGCCCCGUGCUCUCUCUCUCUCUCUCUCGGAAACGAGGCAGCCACCUAGAAACCAUUGUUUUUCCAGCAACUAUGUGGUUCAUAUGUUGAUAUGAUUGUUCAUAUGUUGAUAUGAUUGUUUGCUGGUAGGAGAACCAGGAGGGAGUGCAAUAUCCUUAUUAGUUGUACUCAGGGAUGCAAAAUCUUCACCUGAUGAUUCCACCCCUUUUUACAUGACACUAGCUGCUGCACAGUCAAAAGUGUCUCGCAGAUGCUCUUUAUGACACCAACUGACAGAUUAAUGAGUGCACUCAUAGAGAACAUAACAAGGUAUUUUAGGAAGUGCUUGGACCAGGUUCAAAUUUUUGAUAGUCCUCGGCACGCUUUUUUACAGUGUUGGUUUCAAGUUUUUUUCGGCACAGCUAGACUUUCUGAAAUAAUGCCUUGAACUACACAUGUUCUAUACAAAGCUUGUUUAGUUCUCUAAAAGCUGCACAUGUCACAUACAGUUUGCGAGAACAUGUGCAGAUUUGUGAGAACUAAAAAAACUUUUUCCAGAACAUAUCCAUUGAUAGUAAGAUUGUUUGUCAUAAUGAAAGGAGACAAUGCGUUUGAUAUAGCUUGUCAUGAGAUAAUGAAACAAUAGUGUUUAUUUGGUCACCAGCAAGAUGAUGAUGUGAAGAAUGACUAUUUGCGUCUUUCAGAGUUUCUACCAUCAAAUAGUUUCCCAUAACAGAAUAUUUGCUAAUAUUGGUAGCUAACAAUUGAGAUACUUAUGCUUGUUGAUGCCUUCCCUUUUUGUAGUAACAUCCAUGUGUCCAGCAUAUGUAGAAUAUUAGAAUUUUAUUGGCUGUUUAUUGUAGUUUGUUCUCAGGGUUUGGAAAAUUCUUUAGCUAUAUUCCUUGUCUCAAGCGAGCAUGAGCAAUAUCUUCUUUAUGCCGCAUGCCGCCAAGUUUCUCUAUUUUAAAUGGUUGUGUCUUUCCGCUUCUAAAAAGGGAUAUAUAUUUUAUUAAUCUGACUAUAAUUUGUGGUAGGUACAUAUUGAAGGAUGUUCUGAGGCUAGCACCUGGUUUAGAAGUUUUGCAAUUCACAGCAAUACCUCAUAAUUUUGAUUUGAUGUCCAGAAUGUCAAUUGAAGAAUGAGCCUACAAACUACAUUGUAGUUUGUAAUAUAUCCUUAUAUAUGGUGCUUGUGUUUUUUUUUUCAAUUAUAAGUUUACAUUUAUGGGUAUUACAAAGUCCCCCUUUCUUUUUCCACAAGGGGCAGUAGCUGUGCCAUUCGAUUCGAAGGACAAAGAGUUGAUCACAACGGGGUAGCAUUCAGGAUAUAUACACAAGAGUAUAGAACCAAAUUAUAUGAUGUAAUUGACCACUAUUUCUAUUAACUUUUCUUGUACACAAUGUUACAAGUUCAUGUAUUAGGUACAUUUUAUUGUUUACUCUCUUUUUUAAUGCAA
Molecule: long non-coding RNA, 4187 nt
Filed under: Triticum aestivum (bread wheat)
Lineage: Eukaryota; Viridiplantae; Streptophyta; Magnoliopsida; Poales; Poaceae
Description: long non-coding RNA (TAES_LNC002416)
Source: RNAcentral